UACGUAGGUGGCAAGCGUUGUCCGGAUUUACUGGGCGUAAAGAGCGCGCAGGCGGUCGUUCAAGUCGCGUGUGAAAGCCCCCGGCUCAACUGGGGAGGGUCACGCGAUACUGAUCGACUCGAAGGCAGGAGAGGGUAGUGGAAUUCCCGGUGUAGUGGUGAAAUGCGUAGAUAUCGGGAGGAACACCGGUGGCGAAGGCGGCGACCUGGGUCGAUACUGACGCUGAUGCGCGAAAGCGUGGGGAGCAAACAGG
RNAcentral lists this ribosomal RNA (253 nucleotides) under uncultured bacterium. RNAcentral's name for it is "partial 16S ribosomal RNA". It matches the Rfam family "Bacterial small subunit ribosomal RNA", at positions 524 to 776 of the family's 1533-position model. The record is from RNAcentral.